Molecule: long non-coding RNA, 2061 nt
Organism: Pseudopipra pipra
Lineage: Eukaryota; Metazoa; Chordata; Aves; Passeriformes; Pipridae
Exons: 3
Source: RefSeq, a predicted model, not a curated record
AAACAUUUUUGGGCUGUGAAAACGAGCUUUUCCCUCUAACAGAAUCAUGUUUUGCUGUUUUCCCUCUCAGUUUGCUGACAAGAUGAUAAAAGGUAGCGUGGUGUGUGUGCCUUGAUAAAACAGGAGCUUUACUUCCAAAGGUCUUACGCAGGCUGACGGCAGUCCUGGAGAAGAGAUCCAGCCUUGCUCCAGCGGGAUACACACGCAGAUUUUAAUCAGGAGCGACAGCUAUGGAGCAGAGCUGUGUGUGCAGCACCUCUGAGACCUGUGCUCCUGCUGGUGCUCACACUUGCAUGGAGGAGGAGGCACUGAAGACAAGAUCACCCAGUGUCUUUGCCAUAGCCCAGCCUGCAAAUGUGAGUGUUGUUUCAGCGUGUCCCUCAUCCUCACAUCCUAAUUCCAGGGCAGCUAUACUUUGCUCUUCUGUUUUGUGCAGCAGCAUCUCUGUGUCUGCACAACUGAAAUUCUAUCCCAGCUCUCAUCCCCUCAUGUCUGGAGUUACUUAGGAGGACACUCACACUAUUUCUAUUUGUUCAAAAUGCUGCUAGUGAUACUCAUUUCUUGCCUUGUAAUUUAAGCACUUUAUCACUCUUCUUGCAUCCCUUUGCUGACUUGCUUUCAUCCCCUCUAUCCAUUGUCAUUCUGCAUUUUUAAGACCCUUCCAAGCCUGCCCAGCGAGGCUGUGAAGCUGUUAACUCUUGUUUCUGCUCUGAGGAUGGUGCCAGUCAUUCUCAUCCUCCUGCUUCACCUUUUCUUAUGUUCUUUACCAGGGAUGAGCAAAGUUCCUUGUAACCCCAGCAGGGCAGCUCCAUGGGGUGCCUCCUAGGCUGGCUUUGAAAUUCCCUUAGCAGUGAUGCCUGUGUGCCUGUAGGCACGCAGUGUGUCACCUUGGCCUGGCUUGUGUCUGUGCUGAUGUCCUCUCAGAUGUGGGAUUUGAGAGGGGACAUCACCCUAAAACCAAGCCCUGGUAGCAGUGUACUGCUACAAUAUGACCAACACAGUUUGCUUGGGAAGAUUCUGGGUUCUCUAUAUCGCAUCAGCUCCUCCUAUACAAAUUGUUUAGGAUAAAAGUAUCUACGUUUAAUAAAUGUAAUUCUAUAAAUCAAAUUGUUUUCACAGAUCACACUUUCCUUUUAUUGCUCUUUGUUAUUUGGGGGCAUAUGGUAGCUUUCUGUAAAAUGUUGCCUUAAUUGCCUUCUGGAUAUACCCUGUAAAUCCUGACAAAUGCUUUUAAAAGCGAAAACCAAGACAUAUUUUUCUUCUAUCAGAGCUUGCUCAACAAACUGCUUGUACCUUUUCCGUGGGGCCUUGCAAAAUGCUGUUAUGUCAAGAAGAAUAAUGCUCUUUAAUUUAUGAACCAUUAAUAUUUAUUGCACAUGCAAUGGCUGGCAUUUUGUGUGAGAGAGCUGGACAGCAGCUAUUAAAAUUGGAAAGAGGUUAUAUAUUAACCAGGGCUACUCAGAUAAUUCAUAUGGGGUAAUUUUUGAUUAAUUUAUUUCUUUUGUUGAUAAAUUUCCUGGUAGUGACCAACAAGGUGGGUUUUUUAAACUUAUUUGCUAGCUCAUAAUGAAUUGCUCAGUAAUUACUACAAACAAUUCAACUCCUUUGUUAUUAGGGUUUUAUAAGCGUGUUGAAGAAGACUUGCUUAUCUUGUUACACAAUUAAGGAGUUGGAUCUCAGUCUCACUUCUGAGUUGGGAUCUGCUUGUUUCCCACAAAGAUUAGGACUGGGGGCUCCUUACUCUGUGUUUUGUACAGGGGCAUCCAGAGACCCCAGUGUGUGAUGCUGCUGCCCCAAACCACACCCCCAAUUCCACAGUGUGAGGAAUUUGCAAAACCUUGUAGCAGUGUUCAGCUUUGCAGUGAAUCUCCCUGCAAACUGUGUUGGAAUACUGGCCCAAGAGAGGGCUCUGGUGCCACGGUAUCAUCUUUUGAAAAGAACAUGAUUAAUUUGGGGGUAUAAGUUGGAUAGAUCUGCAGGUUAUUUGUAGAACAAGUUGCCUGAAAAUUACUUGUAACAAGGUUUUAAAAUUCAGGUUAUAUUGGUUUCUCCUGAUACAAG